UACGGGGGGGGCAAGCGUUGUUCGGAAUUACUGGGCGUAAAGGGCUCGUAGGUGGCCAACUAAGUCAGACGUGAAAUCCCCAGGCUCAACUUGGGAACUGCGUCUGAUACUGGAUGGCUUGAAUUCGGGAGAGGGAUGCAGAAUUCCAGGUGUAGCGGUGAAGUGCGUAGAUAUCUGGAGGAAUACCGGUGGCGAAGGCGGCAUCCUGGACCGGCAUUGACGCUGAUGAGCGAAAGCUAGGGGAGCAAACGGG
This 253-nucleotide ribosomal RNA is filed under the name uncultured bacterium. Its description in RNAcentral is "partial 16S ribosomal RNA". It matches the Rfam family "Bacterial small subunit ribosomal RNA", at positions 524 to 776 of the family's 1533-position model. The record is from RNAcentral.